UACGUAGGCAGCAAGCGUUGUUCGGAGUUACUGGGCGUAAAGGGUGUGUAGGCGGUUCUUUAAGUUUGGUGUGAAAUCUCCCGGCUUAACCGGGAGGGUGCGCCGAAUACUGAGGGACUAGAGUACGGGAGAGGAAAGUGGAAUUCCUGGUGUAGCGGUGAAAUGCGUAGAUAUCAGGAGGAACACCGGUGGCGAAGGCGGUUUCCUGGCCCAGUACUGACGCUGAGGCACGAAAGCGUGGGGAGCGAACGGG
This 253-nucleotide ribosomal RNA is filed under the name uncultured bacterium. RNAcentral's name for it is "partial 16S ribosomal RNA". It matches the Rfam family "Bacterial small subunit ribosomal RNA", at positions 524 to 776 of the family's 1533-position model. The record is from RNAcentral.